This 531-nucleotide long non-coding RNA is filed under the name Cricetulus griseus (Chinese hamster). RNAcentral's name for it is "lncRNA (ENSCGRG00015030668.1)". The record is from RNAcentral. Lineage: Eukaryota; Metazoa; Chordata; Mammalia; Rodentia; Cricetidae.
CUUUUUCUGCCUCUCUUCUAUGCUCUACCUCCCAUCACGACAAAUUCCUACCAGCUUUUUUUCCCAGAGACAGCUUACUUUCAUUUUGCAAAUCACCCAGUGUCUUAAUUCACCAUGCCCGAGCCUCUCGGGACAAGUCUAUGAAUAACAUGUUAGUAAUGCGAAGCCUUGGCUCCUCUGGGAUAUGGGAAGGGUCACAGAAGAGAUGGGGCAGAAGAGUGUGUGGCCUGUGGCAGAGAUGGCAGCACACAGAUUUUCUCUUGUGUCGGGGGCAGCCUGCAUGCUUUUCCUUGUGGCUAAUCUCCUGGGGCAAGUAUACCAGCUGCAGUGGCCCCCAGCUGUACUCUGAAUGCACACUAUUCCAGAAGCCUCAGCCUCAGCUGCUUCCUGACCUCUGCUGCAGGUGUGUGGUGCCCAUAGCGGGAGCAACAACAGCUAACUCGUCCUGCGAACCUGUUUCCAAGGUUCAGAGCAGCAGAACAGACUGAAGCCUCCAAAACUGUGAACCGAAAUGGACCUUCUUGUGUAAAC